This 482-nucleotide ribosomal RNA is filed under the name uncultured bacterium. RNAcentral describes it as "partial 16S ribosomal RNA". It matches the Rfam family "Bacterial small subunit ribosomal RNA", at positions 30 to 507 of the family's 1533-position model. The record is from RNAcentral.
AUUGAACGCUGGCGGCAUGCCUUACACAUGCAAGUCGAACGGUAACAGGUCUUCGGAUGCUGACGAGUGGCGAACGGGUGAGUAAUACAUCGGAACGUGCCCAGACGUGGGGGAUAACGAGGCGAAAGCUUUGCUAAUACCGCAUACGAUCUAAGGAUGAAAGCAGGGGACCGCAAGGCCUUGUGCGUUUGGAGCGGCCGAUGGCAGAUUAGGUAGUUGGUGGGAUAAAAGCUUACCAAGCCGACGAUCUGUAGCUGGUCUGAGAGGACGACCAGCCACACUGGGACUGAGACACGGCCCAGACUCCUACGGGAGGCAGCAGUGGGGAAUUUUGGACAAUGGGCGAAAGCCUGAUCCAGCAAUGCCGCGUGCAGGAUGAAGACCUUCGGGUUGUAAACUGCUUUUGUACGGAACGAAAAGGCUCUGGCUAAUACCUGGGGCACAUGACGGUACCGUAAGAAUAAGCACCGGCUAACUACGUG